This 321-nucleotide ribosomal RNA is filed under the name uncultured bacterium. RNAcentral describes it as "bacterial SSU rRNA". It matches the Rfam family "Bacterial small subunit ribosomal RNA", at positions 773 to 1085 of the family's 1533-position model. The record is from RNAcentral.
AGGGAAUAGAUACCCGGGUAGUCCACGCCGUAAACGAUGAAUACUAGGUGUAGGGGUUGUCAUGACCUCUGUGCCGCCGCUAAACGCAUUAAGUAUUCCGCCUGGGGAGUACGGUCGCAAGAUUAAAAACUCAAAGGAAUUGACGGGGGUCCCGGCACAAGCAGCGGAGCAUGUGGUUUAAAAUUUCGAAGCAACGCGAAGAACCUUACCCUAGACUUGACAUCUCCUGAAUUACCCUUAACUCGGGGAAGCCCUUCGGGUCGAGGAAGACAGGUGGUGCAUGGUUGUCGUCAGCUCGUGUCGUGAGAUGUUGGGUUAAGU